GACGAACGCUGGCGGCGUGCUUAACACAUGCAAGUCGUACGGUAAGGCCCUUUCGGGGGUACACGAGUGGCGAACGGGUGAGUAACACGUGAGUAACCUGCCCACAACUUUGGGAUAACGCUAGGAAACUGGUGCUAAUACUGGAUAUGUGCUCCUGCUGCAUGGUGGGGGUUGGAAAGCUCCGGCGGUUGUGGAUGGACUCGCGGCCUAUCAGCUUGUUGGUGGGGUAGUGGCCUACCAAGGCGGCGACGGGUAGCCGGCCUGAGAGGGUGACCGGCCACAUUGGGACUGAGAUACGGCCCAGACUCCUACGGGAGGCAGCAGUGGGGAAGAUUGCACAAUGGGCGCAAGCCUGAUGCAGCAACGCCGCGUGCGGGAUGACGGCCUUCGGGUUGUAAACCGCUUUCAGCAGGGACGAAGCUUUUUGUGACGGUACCUGCAGAAGAAGCGCCGGCUAACUACGUG
Molecule: ribosomal RNA, 465 nt
Filed under: uncultured bacterium
Lineage: Bacteria
Description: partial 16S ribosomal RNA
Rfam family: Bacterial small subunit ribosomal RNA
Source: RNAcentral